GCACACACAAAUCAGUUCACUAUCAUUAAAGAGACUCAAUGGGGUGAUCGAUUCUUUUGGAAUUCCUUUCACUAUGAGCAGGAUGUACAAAGAACCAAUGUUUCUUUCAUUUCUCACAAUAUGUACAUAAUUGUUAACUACAUACAAGUAAACUAUAACCUUCGCAGUAUAUGCGGGAUGAAACAAGCAUAUUUUGUAAACAACGUCAACCUGGAGCUGUAACUGAAGCUGUAGUGUAGGUAGGAUUCUGAAUAUUUAUGCUUCAUUAAAAUUAUCUGGCAUCUCAGACCUGUCCUCUUCAAGCAAUGGCUCCAUGCUCGCUUUCGCGGAGACUUGAUUUUCCCCAUCCUCAUUAAACAUGUCCACACUCUUCAGAAAAACCCCUAUAAACCAUAUUGCAGCGGCAAGAAACAGCACAGCUGUUAGAAUAAGUGCUGUUUCCCUCCAAUUGUUGAUGUUAUCCUGUAGGACCCCAACAAGUGGGGAAGAAGGUACAUCACCAAAUAUGUGGAUUGAUACAGUUGAGAUAGCCAUAGAUAAGGGUCUCAAACCAGGUUUGACACAAUGCAGACACACAAAAUUAACUGGAGCCUGAGUAGCAAAGACAAGUAGUUCACCUACAGAAAACAGGACUAUGAAACCAAACAAGCUCCUUAGACAGAAUGCACUGAAGCAAAAGAUUGCACCCAGAAAUGUUGCUCCAGAUAGAAGCUUAAAAGCAUUAGAGAUUGUAGCAUUCAUGCGAUCAAGUAUGAAGCCUCCGGCUAAAGUUCCCAAAAUUCCACAAACAAUUGUAAUCCCUCCAAACAUCAUGUCUGCAUUACUCUAUCAAAAGCCUCAAAACUAAAUGAUUACAUCACCAACACCACAACAGCCAAUUAAACUAAGCAAUUGAUGGGCCCCUAUCGGAAGGGGGAAAAUCAUCAAAUGAAAAUAAGGCAAAACGAGAAUUAGUAGUUAACAAUACCAUAUGAUAAAUAUUAUAACCAGCUUUUGGUCCCCAGUAUGAGUAUGCUCCAAUAACAAAGUUGUACGAUAUAUAACCUAGAACAUUUACAACAUAAACUCUGUCAAGCAACAGCACUUCAAUAUCCUUUGAAACUUGUGAUAACUGCUGUAAAAUUUUAGCUUUGCCCUUCAACUUUGAGCCUUUAACAGAUGCUUGACUAUUGAUACCUUCAUUAUCAUCCUCUUCAGUUAUAGAAGCAACUGUUUCUAUUGAUGUCAAUACCUCCUUUGAUUCAGCAGGAGCAAAACCUUUCAGUGUCAAAGGUUUCAUGACGAAUCCUAGAAUAGCAAAUGGAAGCAUCAGAAAUGCUUCUCCCCAAAAUGCGUAGCGCCAAUUAAAAUGGUUUCCAACAAAUCCACCAUAAACAUAACCCAAUGCAACUCCAGUUGGUAUGCACAUGUAAAAUGUAGCAAGCCAGGCUGUUUUCUGAGCAACAGGAGCAUUGUCAUCUAUAAAUGGAGCCGCAAGACUUAUGAAAGAAGCCUCACCAACACCAACCAGCAUUCGGCAUAUUGCAAUAGACCAAAAAUCAAAUGAACUACCACACCCAGCUGUUGCAAAUGUCCAAACGGAUAAUCCAACUCCAAUUAGCCUAAAAGGAUUAUGACUUUUAGCCAAGGAAGCAAAUAUUGGAGAAGCCACAAGAAGUCCAACCAUAAAAGCAGAUGAUAGAACACCAUCCUGGAAAUUGUUCAAGUCGAAAUCCCCCUGAAUUCCACUACCGGAAUUGCAAAUUCCCUUUUCAUCACAAGUCCUAAUACUCCCAUUAACUCCAUUGCUUGCUAUUGCACCACGAUCCACAUAAUUUAACAUAUUAAUCACACAAAAAAUCAUAAGCAACCUUCUGGGAGUGAACCAUGAAGGAGUGGGAGGUGAGUGCGUGAUCGAGGUCCGAGCCAUUACGGAGGAGAUUGAGGUUGUUUCCGAUUGAACGAUUGACUUGGCCUUCUUGCAUACAAUAAUUUAACGUUGAGGACCUUGAAUUCUUGAGGUUUUAGCUGAAUUAAUAAGGUUCCAUUUGUCUGGUUUAUUACGAAAUCAUCCUUCGCCCGUCUUUUUUCCCCUUCAACCAAACGUCUGCAUUGCUUCUUUUCAUUUCUAACGUAUUUUUACAUCUGAUUUUGG
Molecule: unclassified non-coding RNA, 2134 nt
Filed under: Hevea brasiliensis (rubber tree)
Lineage: Eukaryota; Viridiplantae; Streptophyta; Magnoliopsida; Malpighiales; Euphorbiaceae
Source: RNAcentral